GAUGAAGAACGUAGUGAAAUGCGAUAAGUAGUGUGAAUUGCAGAAAUCAGUGAAUCAUCGAAUCUUUGAACGCACAUUGCGCCCUUUGGUAUUCCAAAGGGCAUGCCUGUUCGAGCGUCAUUUGUACCCUCAAGCUUUGCUUGGUGUUGGGCGUCUUGUCUCUAGCUUUGCUGGAGACUCGCCUUAAAGUAAUUGGCAGCCGGCCUACUGGUUUCGGAGCGCAGCACAAGUCGCACUCUCUAUCAGCAAAGGUCUAGCAUCCAUUAAGCCUUUUUUUCAACUUUUGACCUCGGAUCAGGUAGGGAUACCCGCUGAACUUAAGCAUAUCAAUAAGCGGAGGA
RNAcentral lists this unclassified non-coding RNA (341 nucleotides) under soil metagenome. Its description in RNAcentral is "partial contains 5.8S ribosomal RNA, internal transcribed spacer 2, and large subunit ribosomal RNA". The stretch from base 1 to 120 matches the Rfam family "5.8S ribosomal RNA", at positions 35 to 154 of the family's 154-position model. The record is from RNAcentral.